This 468-nucleotide ribosomal RNA is filed under the name uncultured bacterium. RNAcentral's name for it is "partial 16S ribosomal RNA". It matches the Rfam family "Bacterial small subunit ribosomal RNA", at positions 28 to 507 of the family's 1533-position model. The record is from RNAcentral.
GACGAACGCUGGCGGCGUGCUUAACACAUGCAAGUCGAACGGAAAGGCCCUGCUUUUGUGGGGUGCUCGAGUGGCGAACGGGUGAGUAACACGUGAGUAACCUGCCCUUGACUUUGGGAUAACUUCAGGAAACUGGGGCUAAUACCGGAUAGGAGCUCCUGCUGCAUGGUGGGGGUUGGAAAGUUUCGGCGGUUGGGGAUGGACUCGCGGCUUAUCAGCUUGUUGGUGGGGUAGUGGCUUACCAAGGCUUUGACGGGUAGCCGGCCUGAGAGGGUGAACGGCCACAUUGGGACUGAGGUACGGACCAGACUCCUACGGGAGGCAGCAGUGGGGAAUAUUGCACAAUGGGCGGACGCCUGAUGCAGCAACGCCGCGUGCGGGAUGACGGCCUUCGGGUUGUAAACCGCUUUCGCCUGUGACGAAGCGUGAGUGACGGUAAUGGGUAAAGAAGCACCGGCUAACUACGUG